Manis javanica (Malayan pangolin) is the source of this 1402-nucleotide non-coding RNA. Lineage: Eukaryota; Metazoa; Chordata; Mammalia; Pholidota; Manidae. The record is from RefSeq and is a predicted model, not a curated record.
AGGAAACCUGCAAAGAGGUAUUAUUACUCCUUUUCUGGUACCUGUCGGAAGGAUUCCGUGAAAGCGCUGAGGUUUUCUAGGUCAUUGAACCUCAAAAGAGCCACUUCAGGAGUCAGCAAAAGGCAGGGCCUAAAGGUAAUUCUUCUGAACCUCCUCAAUAAUUAUCCUCAGGGGUCAGAAACACUGAUGCUUCACAGGUGACCUGCAAACUGCUCACACGUGGCUGAAGGGCCAGAAGAAGGAAAGCACUACAGUCCAUUUGUCAGGGGAAAAAAGAAAUAAAUGGAAAUUCCUUCUGAAAAAGCUCACUGUCCACUCUUCACCAGUGAUCAUUUCAGGAGGAUUAUAUUAAUAUUAUGUAAUAAUAUUAAUAUUAAUAUGGAUGGAAUAUGCCCAGUGCACUUGACAGCAAAACCAGACCCUAAGCCCACACCACCCAGGCACACUGUCCUGUCGUGUAUUUUGUCCUGGCAAAAUAAUCUUGUUUUCCUAAAAGCUUCUUGUUUUUUAAAAGAAAGUAAAAAUAAGUGACUGAAAUUCAUCCAGUAAAUUCAUUGAACCGUAAUUUAUUCAGUGUUUUGAUGUAGCCUGAUGGGGCUAAUUGUAAAUGAUGUCUUGCUUACAGAUAUGAACUCAUUUGUAUUUCUGAGGUGACUUUUUCCCUUUACCACAUUAGAGGGGAAAAAAAUUCUUCUCUUGUAACAACUAUUAAAUAACCCUCUUUUUCGUAAUAAUCAAAAUGGCUAGUUUUUUAGGCGAAAGUUAUAAAUACUGUAGAAUUAUUUUCAGAAAUUUUGAAAAGGAAACAUAAUUUCCAUUGAAACAUGUAAUCUUCUUAUUUGAUAUCCCUUUAUAUGUUAAUUCAUAGUAUCUGGAGACUUGGAUUUUAAUUUAAAACAACUUUGGUUUGCAAGUCCAAAAUUGAUAUUUAUGUACAAUUUAUGCAAAAUGUAUAAAUCAGGAAAAAUGAAGUUCUUAAGAAUAUAUGAUGAUCUUAAAUUUCUGUUCCUGGAAUAUUUUUCCAAUUAAGUUCAUGAAUGUUUCUAAUAUAAAUGUAAUGUUGCCCUUUUUAGAGGAGUUAGUAGUCCUUUAGAGGAGUUCUAGUCUUUGUAUGUGUGUUUCCUAUUCUUUGUUUUUAACAAGGAAUGUGGUCAAAUGUAAAAUGAGCUUGAUUUGGGUUAAGUGAAACUCUAAUUGCAAAAAAGUGUAAGAAUUGCUAUGUUUACAAGUACCUGGUAUUUCUAUUUGAAGAAAUGUGUGAAAAAUAACAAAUAAAUAAUUAAGAUAGAUGUGUUGUUGAGAACCCUUUUGUUUCACCUUAUUCAGAAUGUUAUGUAAACCUGAGCACUGUGAGUUGGAUACUUUUUUUUUUCAUGUUUUAAAAAUUAUUUUUAAUUUUUGA